UUUUUGCACACCAGUCCAACUGAAGUGUCACACACCACCGUUUGUCCAAGCUGUUUGAUGGGAACGUUUGGAUACCUCUGGGCUCUGCAGGCGAUGUCGGCUACCCAGCCUCUUCCACAGACAUCUCUGAUGGGUUCAAUGUCGGCACCUUGUUUGGUCACAUUUGGUUUACCAGAAUCCAGCCACCCAGUCCAUUGGCAGUCGUCCCAACACAGCGUGGUCUCAGUGGUCGUGGGUGGGGAGGUCACAGUGGUGGGGGUUGGUGUUGGGGGCUCUGUGGUGGUGGUUGUGGUGGUGGUGGUCGGGGUUGAGGUCUCUGGGGUGGUGGUGGUGGUGGUGGUGGUGGUGAUGGGGGUCACGGUGGAGGUCUCAGUGGUGGUGGGAGAAGCUGUGGAGAAAACACAACCCACAGCAGUACACGUUGAUCUCAUAGUUGAGGCAGUGAGGCAGGGGGAUGCGUCCCCCAGGCUUCUGGUCUUGGUUUUUGCACACCAGUCCAACUGAAGUGUCACACACCACCGUUUGUCCAAGCUGUUUGAUGGGAACGUUUGGAUACCUCUGGGCUCUGCAGGCGAUGUCGGCUACCCAGCCUCUUCCACAGACAUCUCUGAUGGGUUCAAUGUCGGCACCUUGUUUGGUCACAUUUGGUUUACCAGAAUCCAGCCACCCAGUCCAUUGGCAGUCGUCCCAACACAGCGUGGUCUCAGUGGUCGUGGGUGGGGAGGUCACAGUGGUGGGGGUUGGUGUUGGGGUCUCUGGGGUGGUGGUGGUGGUGGUGGUGG
Molecule: long non-coding RNA, 782 nt
Filed under: Equus asinus (donkey)
Lineage: Eukaryota; Metazoa; Chordata; Mammalia; Perissodactyla; Equidae
Description: lncRNA (ENSEASG00005025026.1)
Source: RNAcentral